Molecule: long non-coding RNA, 3930 nt
Organism: Gallus gallus (chicken)
Lineage: Eukaryota; Metazoa; Chordata; Aves; Galliformes; Phasianidae
Exons: 2
Source: RefSeq, a predicted model, not a curated record
CCUACUCCAUAAAAAUCAGAAAUCUCAACUGCUCUAUCAAAAAAAAUGGUUUUCUGACUGAGGUCCUCCAUUAAUCUAGGGUUGUCAGAAACACUUGUCUUGGGUCCUAAAGAUAGUAGAUUUUGUAUGUACUACCUAGACAAAGCUUUUUAUAGUUUCUCAGAAUAGUACAAGCAUAAUCAAGUUACUCUAUGGACAGUUGGCUAAUCUCGUCUCAUGUUGAUACAGGCACAGUAUCUUCCUUAAUUAAGUAGUAUACUUUAGCAGAAUAGAGGAAGCUUACAAUAGUAUCAGGAAAGUUUAUAUAGUCAAGAAGUUUUGUUUAGAACAGGAGUUAAUCUUCAGUUGGGCAUAAAUACUUUUCAGGGAAGAAAAGUGGAUAAAGAAGCUACACUAUGCAAGAUCACUCUUAAUCUCAACAGUUUCUACAUCCAAGUCCUUUUUAAAGUUAAUAAAAGCAAACCUGAGAAACAUCUCAAAGUACUGAUCAUUUUUAUACAGCUCCUUCAUUCUGAAAUUUACCAUUAUACUUUUACUACAUAAUUUAAGAUCAAACAGCAACAAAAACAACCAUAGAACACUAACAUGAAGCAAUCUUAAGAAUCAUGUAGCUACAAAAGCAAGACUGGAAGAAAGUAUAACAGAAAAGUAAGUUAUUUACGUUGGGGUAACAUCUCAUGAACUCUACAGAAUGUAUUUUGAGAAGAAUAUUCUAAUGUCCAACUUGUGUGCUGUCAUUUUCAUGGUUAUGCUGUACAAUCCAGCCACCACUACCACUUCUCCACUUCACUGGAAAUAUGAAAGCCAAUGUAUUGCAUCUCUCAUUACAUCUAACUUUAUAAAUACAGGUAAUUGACUUCAAUAUUUGUAGUGUCUUCAACAUCAGCAGCCCAGAUGUUUCAUACUUAAAGAGGUGCGAACUUGCUAGAAUGAGGAGAUAUUCCCUUCUCAUUCCUUUGAGAUUUACAUAAUCAAGACAGGAAAUUCUUAUAGGAGCUUUGGAUGCCCCACCCCUGGAGGCAUUCAAGGCCAGGCUGGAUGUGGCUCUGGACAGCCUGGUCCAGUGGUUGGCAAUCCUGCACAUAGCAGGAGUGUUAAAACUAGAUGAUCAUCAUGGUCCUUUUCAACCCAGGCCAUUCUAUGAUUCUAUGAAAUAUAAUCUAGUAUGAAUACAUUGAGAGGAUGUAAAGGAGUCAGCUCUCAGUUCAUAAUAGAGAUGUUGCACCCAGUAGAAUCCUGAAGAAACCCGAGCUAGUCAAAUCUGUGCAUACACAGCCCUCAAGAUCUCAUUAGGUUUGCUGCAAAUAGCUUGAGCAUUAUAUUUUAAUCUCAUUCACGCUAAAGUUGCAGCAGCAAGUGAGAUUUGUACACUAAUCUUUUGAAUUAUUGAAGUAUCCAAUGCCAGAGCUAACAACGAAGACCUUAGUGAGAAAUGACAAGCAGCAUGAAAAGUACUUUCUCAGCCAAAAUAGACAGCUAGAAACAAAUUGCUUAAAUGAAGUAUAGUUAUUAAGAACAAAACCUCUCACUGUUUUCACUGUUGGAUAUUUUAAGAGCUUUAUAUUACUAUGCAUUCACUUUUCUUAAGUUUUGUUUCUGUAAGAGUAAGGCACUCUACAUAGCUUGUCAAAACAGCAAGGGUUCAAGUAAUUGGUCAGUACUGCCACAGCUAAUGCAACCCAUGAUAAUUGUCAUUUUCUAUCCACACAGGAUUACAACACAUCACAGUCACAAGGAGACCCGCAUGCAGAUAUCAUGCACAUGCAAGCACACAUCCAACAGAAGCAUUGCCUUAGACAGCUGGUUAAAUGUACAUACUGCACUAAUAAGACUGACCUUGUCCUAAAAUCCGCUUUCCCCAGUUAAAUGAAUACAGCUUCUCAUCCUAGUCUUCAUUUUUAGAAAGCAAGCAUCAGUGUUAGAAGAGAACAGAGAAGAAAGAAUAGUAAAGAACCAGCAAACAGAGUUAUCUAGACUGGAAAAGACCCUCUAGAUCAUCACACCAACCAUCAACCUGAGUCUCAUCACUAAAUCAUGUCCCUUAGUGUCAUGUCCAUGCAUUUAUUAAACACUUCCAGGGAUGGGGACCUUACCACAUCCCAUGCUAGCACAUUCCAAUGCUUGAACUCUCUCUCCACAAAUGCAUUCUUCCUACUAUCCAAUCUAAACUUGUCCUGGUACAACUUAACAUGAUUUCUUAGUCCUGUCACUUGUCAUCUACUUACACAUAAGGGUCUUGAAUAACCCUUUAGUUUCCACAACACUUGAAUGAUGAUAAUUUUUCUUACAGUUAUGGAACUGGUCAUUAGCACUGGGAUUAGCACUGGGGGGGGGGGGGGGGGAAGAACUCACCUCCUUGUUCAUCCAGCAUGGUGAUAGUCCUGACGCCAACAUCAUGGGACUGUACAAAGAAAGUUAUUUGGUGAUACAAAACCAUUUCAAUACACCAGUGCAAAAAUCUGAAUGUCCCUAAAAUAAGUCUGACAAGUCAUACAAGUUUGUAACAAAAUACAGUACUAUGGAAAUGCUUCUACAGUAAAGUUAUACUAAACUUCAAAUUUGAUCUCGCUAGGCUGAUAGCAUUCUUACAUGUAAUGCCAUCUCAGUUAGGAUUUUUUUUUCUAUUAGUAAAACAAGAUAAAAAUUGAUUACAAUACUUAAGAUUGAACUACGUCAAGGUCAAGCUGAAAAGGAAAACCUGCCAUAUCUUGUUUUAAGAAGUGGCACUUAAUUCAUUCUUUAUCCCUACAGCUUUCAGUAGGACCAAAUAGACCUUUAGUCCUGGAGGCCACAAGUGAAAAGAAUUAAAAGUAAUAAUUUAAAAAAAAAGACAGAGCCUGGAAAACCCUUGUUGGGAAUUUAGAAGGUAUCAGGAAGAAACAAAUUACACCUACAUUUUACUGCAAACUCACAGCUCAGAACUGUGUUAGACAUUAUUUCAGCUUCUAAGAAUUGCCAAAGUGAGAUAACAAAAGAAGCAACCUUGAUGCAUUGUGGUUUUUUGACAUCCACGUUUGAGAGGAAUUCAUUAGGCUAUACUAAAUCAAGCAUCUUAUUUAUAACAGCAGCAUCUUUGCUCCACAGCAGUCUGCUGCCACCUGAAUGUGAGUGUAGGUUCUAAAGUGGUAUUGAUUAAACACUAAAGUCCUCAUUUGUAGGAUUAAUUUUUAACUAAUCUCACCUAGACAAGAAGUCAUCUCAUCUGUGCUUGAAGUCUUGUCAUUAGCUUUACUGCUCAGUCUCUGUAUUCCCAUUUGUCCACUGCAUGCACAAGUACUAGCAAAGCAGUCUCAAAUGAAUCACAUAAGCUUUGUUAUCUCUAACAGAUUUGACCCUGCCGGGGAUCUGCUCUUUAUUUUCAGAAAUACAUAAUGAAAUGUAAGCUUUCUACAGUUUGAUUAAAAAAAACAAGGGGAUAUACAAGUCAUAAAAGCAUGGAGAAACUCAAUGAUAGCAUCAUCUAGAUAAACCCAAAAUACAGAUCUAAUCUGUUUUAGGUAAUGUACAAGGGUGUUAAGAGUUUCAUUAUCAUACUUAACUGCUUUUAAAAUUAUAACUGGGGAACAGACAGUAAGAAGGUAUAAGCAGAACUACUUUUGUAUAGGAAGAAGCAGAAGCAGCCUUGCCCUCUGCUACCCUACCACACCCUACUAAGCCCUACCUUCCCUCUUGAAAACAGGACAAAGUGAGAUAGAGGGGGGGGGGGGGGAACAUUAAUCACUUUGCAAACCAAGCAAUGAAGCAGCCAAAGCCAUCUGUCACAGAUGAGUGUUUGUAACUGAUCUGAAACAUCUGGAGAUUUGACCAUUUUGCUUAAAAGGAGAACAGUCAAAAAGACAAUGAUUUUUGUGACUUAAGCCUAAUGGUUUUCACAUUAUAUAAAGUCAUCAUAAUUCAAAUGUCUCAAAUAAAGUUUGGAAAAAACAAAAA